Molecule: ribosomal RNA, 491 nt
Filed under: uncultured Glomus
Lineage: Eukaryota; Fungi; Glomeromycota; Glomeromycetes; Glomerales; Glomeraceae
Description: SSU rRNA
Rfam family: Eukaryotic small subunit ribosomal RNA
Source: RNAcentral
AGCAGCCGCGGUAAUUCCAGCUCCAAUAGCGUAUAUUAAAGUUGUUGCAGUUAAAAAGCUCGUAGUUGAAUUUCGGGAUCGACGGGUCGGUCGCGCCUCUGGUGUGUACUGGCCCUGUCGGUUUCUCCCUUCUGACGAACCACGAUGUCAUUAAUUUGGUGUCGUGGGAAAUCAGGACUGUUACUUUGAAAAAAUUAGAGUGUUUAAAGCAGGCAUUCGCUUGAAUACAUUAGCAUGGAAUAAUGAAAUAGGACGUUUGAUCUUAUUUUGUUGGUUUCUAAGAUCGACGUAAUGAUUAAUAGGGAUAGUUGGGGGCAUUAGUAUUCAAUUGUCAGAGGUGAAAUUCUUGGAUUUAUUGAAGACUAACUACUGCGAAAGCAUUUGCCAAGGAUGUUUUCAUUAAUCAAGAACGAAAGUUAGGGGAUCGAAGACGAUCAGAUACCGUCGUAGUCUUAACCAUAAACUAUGCCGACUAGGGAUCGGAUGAUGUU